GACGAACCGUGCAAACGUUGUUCGGAAUCACUGGGCUUAAAGGGCGCGUAGGCGGCUUGCAAAGUCAGUGGUGAAAUCCUGCAGCUUAACUGUAGAAGUGCCUUUGAUACUGGCAAGCUCGAGGGAGGUAGGGGUCUGUGGAACUUCUGGUGGAGCGGUGAAAUGCGUUGAUAUCAGAAGGAACGCCGGUGGCGAAAGCGACGGACUGGACCUCUUCUGACGCUGAGGCGCGAAAGCUAGGGGAGCAAACGGG
RNAcentral lists this ribosomal RNA (253 nucleotides) under uncultured bacterium. RNAcentral describes it as "partial 16S ribosomal RNA". It matches the Rfam family "Bacterial small subunit ribosomal RNA", at positions 524 to 776 of the family's 1533-position model. The record is from RNAcentral.